UUUGAAGACAAAGUGAGUGGAACAGCAGUCCGCUCCUAUUAAUGACGUGUCCUAAACCAUGGAUCAGAAAACUGCGCGGAACAAGCAGAGAUGUGGAUUAAGGACAGUCUGAAUCCCGGGUCCCCAGUGAGCUGUGAGAAAGCACAGCAAACGUCACCUAUGAGCUGGACAGCAACGCUUUGGGAUUUCUUAAGAGUCAGAAUCGGAAUCAGGUUUAUUAUCACCGGCACAUAACGUGAAAUUUGUUAACUUAGCAGCCCCAGUUCAAUGCAAUACAUAAUAGUGAAG
Long non-coding RNA from Mobula hypostoma (lesser devil ray), 288 nucleotides. RefSeq lists it as uncharacterized. The record is from RefSeq and is a predicted model, not a curated record. NCBI's taxonomy places the organism in Eukaryota, Metazoa, Chordata, Chondrichthyes, Myliobatiformes, Myliobatidae. The transcript has 3 exons.